GUUGUCACUGCACCGGCCUGGGUUGCUGCUGUGGUGGUUUCAAUCCCUGGCCCAGGAACUUCCACAUGCUGCAGGCACAGCCAAAAAAAAAGACAUGGGGUGCUUCAUUGUUUGAGAGAUGGAUAAAAAUUGAAAGAAAUAGGAGUCCUUGUUGUGGCUCAGUGGGUUAAGAACCUGACUAGAAUCCAUGCGGAUGCAGGUUUGAUUCCUGGCCUCGCUCAGGGGAUUAAAGGAUCAGGUGUUGCCAUGAGCUGUGGUGUAGCCCACAGAUGUGGCUUGGAUCUGGCAUUGCUACAGCUGUGGCAUAGGUCGGCAGCUGCAUCUCUGAUUCGACCCCUAGCCUGGGAACUUGUAUAUGCCUCAAGUGUGACCCUGAAAAGUAAAAAAAAAAAAAGGAAAUAGGUUGUUUUAAGAAUCAGAUACUUGGCCAGGGAUCGAACCCGCAAUCUCAUGGUUCCUAGCUGGAUUUGUUAACCACUGAGCCACAACAGGAACUCCUGUUUGUAGACUUUUUAAUGAUGGCCAUUCUGGCUGGUGUAAGGUGGGACCUCAUAGUGGUUUUGAUUUGUAUUUCUCUAAUAAUGAGUGAUGUUGAACACCUUUUCAUGUGUUUUUUGGCCAUCUGUAUGUCUUCUUGGGAGAAUCGUUUGUUUAGAUCUUCUGCCCAUUUUUUGAUGUGGUUGUUUGUUUUUUUGGUAUUGAGCUGUAGGAGGUGUUUGUUUAUUAAUUUUGGAGAUUAAUCCCUUGUCAGUCGAUUCACUUGCAAAGAUUUUCUCCCAUUCUGUGGGUUGUCUUUCGUUUUGCUGUAGCACAUCUUCUUUAUCCAUUCCCCUGUCCAUGGACAUUUAGGUUGUUUCCAUACCUUGGCUAUUGUGAAUAAUGCUGCUGUGAACACAGGGGUGUGUGCCUGCAUCUUUUUGAAUUAUGGUUUUGUCUGGAUAUGUGCCUAGCAGUGGGAUUACUGGAUCAUAUGGCAAUUCUAUUUUUAAUUUUCUGAGGAACCUCCAUACUGUUUUCCAUAGUGGCUGUACUGAUUUACAUUCCCACCAACAGUGUAGGAGGAAUGGCAUGGUUUUUUUGAAAUGGUGAACAUAAGUUCUAAAUAAACUACCGUAUAAUCUUCCCUCCAUUUAUACAGUAGUUGCAUGCCUAGAGGAUUCAGCACACUAAAAACUGCAAAACGUACUUUGUGUUUAUAGGUAAAAAAAGAGUAAGGUUAUAGGCUCAGCUAAUUAUAAAUUGUUUUUCACUUGAAUAUUUAUGGGGACAUAUGAUAGCUGUGCAGGACUUGGGACAAGUCGUUGUGCAAGAUUAUCCCAGGCAUUGCAAGAAAGCUAGCAUCCUUGGCUUCCACCUACCAAAUGCCAGAGAUGCUUCCCAGUCAUUGUGACAAUCAAAACACUUUCACCUCUAUUGGGUAGGGAAUGCCACUUCUGCCAAGAACCACUGUUCUAAAUAAUAGGAAGCCAUCAGAAGUAUUUUUCUCCCCUCAACUUUUUGAUAAAU
RNAcentral lists this long non-coding RNA (1506 nucleotides) under Sus scrofa (pig). Its description in RNAcentral is "lncRNA (ENSSSCG00005008033.1)". The record is from RNAcentral. Lineage: Eukaryota; Metazoa; Chordata; Mammalia; Artiodactyla; Suidae.